Molecule: ribosomal RNA, 381 nt
Filed under: Triticum aestivum (bread wheat)
Lineage: Eukaryota; Viridiplantae; Streptophyta; Magnoliopsida; Poales; Poaceae
Description: partial small subunit ribosomal RNA
Source: RNAcentral
AUGGAGCCAUGGACGCCACCUAUUCGUCUUGUCCUCCGCGUGCGUGCUUGCCGUCGCCAUCCGUUGACCUCCCGAGGCAGAGUCGUGCAAGUCCCUCGAUGCCCUUUCAGUUCAUCAAAUCGCCAAGUUCAGUGGGGCGCCAAGUUCCUCUCCGAUGUGUGUAGGACUACCGUUCCCUGGAUUCGUCAAGUACCAUGUCCAUCUCGUUCCGUUUCAUCACCGUCAAGGCCGAGAGGACGCCAAGUACCAGGACGACGAGGACCGUCAAGUUCGUCUUCCGCCGUCUUCGAAAUCGUGAAGUACCACUAUGAGAUGUGCAACUACUUCCACGACGAAACGAGAACAACUACCGCCGUUGAAGGUCGUCAAGUGAACAUUUAG